Molecule: ribosomal RNA, 158 nt
Filed under: bacterium enrichment culture DGGE gel band 14
Lineage: Bacteria
Description: partial 16S ribosomal RNA
Rfam family: Bacterial small subunit ribosomal RNA
Source: RNAcentral
UACUCCUACGGGAGGCAGCAGUAGGGAAUCUUCCACAAUGGACGCAAGUCUGAUGGAGCAACGCCGCGUGAGUGAAGAAGGCUUUCGGGUCGUAAAACUCUGUUGUUGGAGAAGAAUGGUCGGCAGAGUAACUGUUGUCGGCGUGACGGUAUCCAACC